UCAUAGUUCGCUUUGUAGUGGAAAUCCCACAGCAAGCUAUGGGAAAGCUUGGCGCGAGGAAUUGCAACGGAAAGCAGGUUCUCGG
RNAcentral lists this unclassified non-coding RNA (85 nucleotides) under Epilithonimonas hominis. RNAcentral describes it as "Chryseobacterium hominis Flavo-1 RNA". Lineage: Bacteria; Pseudomonadati; Bacteroidota; Flavobacteriia; Flavobacteriales; Weeksellaceae. The record is from RNAcentral.